This 887-nucleotide ribosomal RNA is filed under the name uncultured bacterium. Its description in RNAcentral is "bacterial SSU rRNA". It matches the Rfam family "Bacterial small subunit ribosomal RNA", at positions 11 to 902 of the family's 1533-position model. The record is from RNAcentral.
GUUUGAUCCUGGCUCAGGAUGAACGCUAGCGGCAGGCCUAACACAUGCAAGUCGAGGGGUAGAGGAAGCUUGCUUCCUUGAGACCGGCGCACGGGUGCGUAACGCGUAUGCAAUCUGCCUUGUACAGAGGGAUAGCCCAGAGAAAUUUGGAUUAAUACCUCAUAGUAUUAUUGAAUGGCAUCAUUUAAUAAUUAAAGUUCCAACGGUACAAGAUGAGCAUGCGUCCUAUUAGCUAGUUGGUGUGGUAACGGCAUACCAAGGCUACGAUAGGUAGGGGUCCUGAGAGGGAGAUCCCCCACACUGGUACUGAGACACGGACCAGACUCCUACGGGAGGCAGCAGUGAGGAAUAUUGGACAAUGGGCGCAAGCCUGAUCCAGCCAUGCCGCGUGCAGGAAGACGCAUCUAUGGUGUGUAAACUGCUUUUGUACGGGAAGAAACACUCCCUCGUGAGGGAGCUUGACGGUACCGUAAGAAUAAGGAUCGGCUAACUCCGUGCCAGCAGCCGCGGUAAUACGGAGGAUCCAAGCGUUAUCCGGAAUCAUUGGGUUUAAAGGGUCCGUAGGCGGUUUAAUAAGUCAGUGGUGAAAGCCCGUCGCACAACGAUGGAACGGCCAUUGAUACUGUUAGACUUGAAUUACAAGGAAGUAACUAGAAUAUGUAGUGUAGCGGUGAAAUGCUUAGAUAUUACAUGGAAUACCAAUUGCGAAGGCAGGUUACUACUUGUGGAUUGACGCUGAUGGACGAAAGCGUGGGGAGCGAACAGGAUUAGAUACCCUGGUAGUCCACGCCGUAAACGAUGGAUACUAGCUGUUGGGAGCAAUUUCAGUGGCUAAGCGAAAGUGAUAAGUAUCCCACCUGGGGAGUACGUUCGCAAGAAUGAAACUC